GACGAACGCUGGCGGCGUGCUUAACACAUGCAAGUCGAACGGAAAGGCCCUGCUUUUGUGGGGUGCUCGAGUGGCGAACGGGUGAGUAACACGUGAGUAACCUGCCCUUGACUUUGGGAUAACUUCAGGAAACUGGGGCUAAUACCGGAUAGGAGCUCCUGCUGCAUGGUGGGGGUUGGAAAGUUUCGGCGGUUGGGGAUGGACUCGCGGCUUAUCAGCUUGUUGGUGGGGUAGUGGCUUACCAAGGCUUUGACGGGUAGCCGGCCUGAGAGGGUGACCGGCCACAUUGGGACUGAGAUACGGCCCAGACUCCUACGGGAGGCAGCAGUGGGGAAUAUUGCACAAUGGGCGGAAGCCUGAUGCAGCAACGCCGCGUGCGGGAUGACGGCCUUCGGGUUGUAAACCGCUUUCGCCUGUGACGAAGCGUGAAUGACGGUAAUGGGUAAAGAAGCACCGGCUAACUACGU
RNAcentral lists this ribosomal RNA (467 nucleotides) under uncultured bacterium. Its description in RNAcentral is "partial 16S ribosomal RNA". It matches the Rfam family "Bacterial small subunit ribosomal RNA", at positions 28 to 506 of the family's 1533-position model. The record is from RNAcentral.